AAUAGAUACCCCGGUAGUCCACGCCGUAAACGAUGAGUGCUAAGUGUUAGAGGGUUUCCGCCCUUUAGUGCUGCAGCUAACGCAUUAAGCACUCCGCCUGGGGAGUACGGCCGCAAGGCUGAAACUCAAAGGAAUUGACGGGGGCCCGCACAAGCGGUGGAGCAUGUGGUUUAAUUCGAAGCAACGCGAAGAACCUUACCAGGUCUUGACAUCCUCUGCUAACCCUAGAGAUAGGGCGUUCCCCUUCGGGGGACAGAGUGACAGGUGGUGCAUGGUUGUCGUCAGCUCGUGUCGUGAGAUGUUGGGUUAAGUCCCGCAACGAGCGCAACCCUUGAUCUUAGUUGCCAGCAUUCAGUUGGGCACUCUAAGGUGACUGCCGGUGACAAACCGGAGGAAGGUGGGGAUGACGUCAAAUCAUCAUGCCCCUUAUGACCUGGGCUACACACGUGCUACAAUGGAUGGUACAAAGAGCUGCGAACCCGCGAGGGUAAGCCAAUCUCAUAAAGCCAUUCUCAGUUCGGA
This 522-nucleotide ribosomal RNA is filed under the name uncultured bacterium. RNAcentral's name for it is "bacterial SSU rRNA". It matches the Rfam family "Bacterial small subunit ribosomal RNA", at positions 777 to 1297 of the family's 1533-position model. The record is from RNAcentral.